RNAcentral lists this ribosomal RNA (494 nucleotides) under uncultured bacterium. RNAcentral's name for it is "partial 16S ribosomal RNA". It matches the Rfam family "Bacterial small subunit ribosomal RNA", at positions 28 to 507 of the family's 1533-position model. The record is from RNAcentral.
GACGAACGCUGGCGGCGUGCUUAACACAUGCAAGUCGAACGGUGAAGCGCCUUCCUUUUUGGUGGGUGUGGAUGAGUGGCGAACGGGUGAGUAACACGUGAGUAACCUGCCCCCUUCUUCUGGAUAACCGCAUGAAAGUGUGGCUAAUACGGGAUAUUCUGGGUCUGUCGCAUGAUGGGUCUGGGAAAGAUAUUGUUUCGGUGGGGGAUGGGCUCGCGGCCUAUCAGCUUGUUGGUGGGGUGAUGGCCUACCAAGGCGGUGACGGGUAGCCGGCCCGAGAGGGUGGACGGUCACACUGGGACUGAGACACGGCCCAGACUCCUACGGGAGGCAGAAGUGGGGAAUAUUGCACAAUGGGCGCAAGCGUGAUGCAGCGACGCCGCGUGAGGGAUGGAGGCCUUCGGGUUGUGAACCUCUUUCGCCAGUGAAGCAGGCCUGCCUCGUUUGUGGGUGGGUUGACGGUAGCUGGAUAAGAAGCGCCGGCUAACUACGUG